Molecule: long non-coding RNA, 758 nt
Organism: Capsicum annuum
Lineage: Eukaryota; Viridiplantae; Streptophyta; Magnoliopsida; Solanales; Solanaceae
Exons: 3
Source: RefSeq, a predicted model, not a curated record
UAUGAUGAUGUUAAGCUAUCCGAAAUGGUAGUUUUCACUUUUUUAAGAAAUGUACUGGUAUUCAUAUUGGAAAGGGGAAGUAUCUAAGAAAUCUUUAGCUACUGGGGUGCUGCAAGAAAUUGCACGACGCUGCAACUCAAAGGUAUGUGCUACAUACUUUUUAGCCAAAAUGAUACCCCUCGUUUCUUGUGUUGAUUUUUCUUGGCUAUCAUAGUAAGUGUUCCACCAAUCUGUGUUGCUUUGUAGGUUGAGUUCGGGACUGUGGUGAGCACCAUUGAGGAAUUGCAAUUUUCAGUUAAGGUCUUCUUCACAGGUGAGAAAGUUGGUGUCAGAAUGGGUAAAAAUAGGAAGGAUGCUCAACAACAAGAAGCUGAGAAUACACUUCAUAACUUGGAUGCUAUCUACUGGAGGAGAUGAGGAACCCUGCAAGAUUUAAAUGUGAGCUGUCUCUAAGGACAUGUGGAUCAGGACAUGCUAAAAGUAUUGUGUAGGUCAGGACAUGCGGAUUUCCUCCAUUAAAGGACAGAGAAAAGUCCAUGACAUUUUUUGUAGGCCUAGAGUUCUUUGGUGAUGGUAUUCUUACCAAAGAGAAAACUGUAUCCUUUUUUACAUGAUUCAUUAAUAGAAAAUCAAAAAUACCAUAGCAACUAUUUAUGGUAGCUUAAAUAGAUAUGAAACUUCCCUAACCUCUGCAACUGCUAAGACAUGGAGAGCUGGAGAAAAAUGUUGUAAAGAUAUAUUUGUUAUACUAUCUGAUA